Non-coding RNA from Ameiurus melas (black bullhead), 84 nucleotides. Lineage: Eukaryota; Metazoa; Chordata; Actinopteri; Siluriformes; Ictaluridae. The record is from the annotation of a GenBank genome assembly.
ACCAGGAUGGCCGAGUGGUUAAGGCGUUGGACUUAAGAUCCAAUGGAUAAGUUUCCUCGUGGGUUCAAACCCCAGCUCAUGGUA